AAUAAUAAUUCUCGUCUCUUUUUGAUUAAACGUUUCAGAAAUGAUGCAUCUUGUACUGGAGAAAAAGGCGUUGUUGGAGGCUAUUGAGCUAGCUCAAGACUUGAUUGAGAAAAACAAGGAUUUACACUUCCAUCUUCUUUGCCUUCAUUUUCUUGAGCUUAGAUGUGCUGCCAAGUGCCCUGAAGCUCUUGAAUCUGCUCAGACAAGGUUGGUGGCUCUUUUUGGGGAUGUCCCAAAAUAUGUCGAAAAGCUUCAAGUUAAAGUCUCUGAAUCUUUGAUGAAUUGGCGCAGAUUAUGUUUUCUCUUCUCCAAAUGAUGGAAGCUGUUAGUUGAAAAGUUGAAACCAGUUUGUUUCCCUCUGUGUGUGGCAGGCCACAAUACAGUUGCUGACUUGUGAUUUUGAAGACCCUGAGCUACCUCAGAUUUACAUCUUUCCAGCUUUGAAUACAGCCAACAGGUUGCCGAUAAACUGAACCGCGCCAUUCUUGAACAUGCAAAAGAUACACACCAAUGGAAAGGCUCUUACAACAGGUGACAGUUGCGAGACAGUACUUGACCCAGGAGUAUGGCAAAGACGCGUUUCCUCCAUUCUCCUUGGAAGAUUCUCUCAAAGGCUUAAGAUCGCAGCAGGACGACUCUGAAGUUUGCCAAGAGAAGGAUAUGCUUAACAUUGGCAUUUAAAUACAGAAAAACGCUUUUUGCUUCUCAAUGUCUAUCUCCAUUGGUUUAAAAUCCGUCUUCUAACUCAUUUCUCUUUGUAAUGAACUAAUGAUCGUUUAUGUAACACAUAACUUCAAGAUAGAUACUUUGCAGACU
Molecule: long non-coding RNA, 816 nt
Organism: Raphanus sativus (radish)
Lineage: Eukaryota; Viridiplantae; Streptophyta; Magnoliopsida; Brassicales; Brassicaceae
Exons: 4
Source: RefSeq, a predicted model, not a curated record